Molecule: transfer RNA, 76 nt
Filed under: Luteolibacter sp.
Lineage: Bacteria; Pseudomonadati; Verrucomicrobiota; Verrucomicrobiia; Verrucomicrobiales; Verrucomicrobiaceae
Also listed under: 8 other names
Description: tRNA-Ala
Rfam family: tRNA
About the family: Transfer RNA (tRNA) molecules are approximately 80 nucleotides in length. Their secondary structure includes four short double-helical elements and three loops (D, anti-codon, and T loops).
Source: RNAcentral
GGGGCAUUAGCUCAGUUGGUAGAGCGCUUCGUUCGCAAUGAAGAGGUCAGGAGUUCGAAUCUCCUAUGCUCCACCA